ACUACCCGCUGAACUUAAGCAUAUCAAUAAGCGGAGGAAAAGAAACCAACAGGGAUUGCCUCAGUAACGGCGAGUGAAGCGGCAAAAGCUCAAAUUUGAAAUCCCCCGGGAAUUGUAACUUGAAGAGAUUUGGGUCCGGCCGGCGGGGGUUAAGUCCACUGGAAAGUGGCGCCACAGAGGGUGACAGCCCCGUGAACCCCUUCAACGCCUUCAUCCCAGAUCUCCAAGAGUCGAGUUGUUUGGGAAUGCAGCUCUAAGUGGGUGGUAAAUUCCAUCUAAAGCUAAAUACCGGCGAGAGACCGAUAGCGAACAAGUACAGUGAUGGAAAGAUGAAAAGCACUUUGAAAAGAGAGUGAAAAAGUACGUGAAAUUGUUGAAAGGGAAGGGCUUGCAAGCAGACACUUAACUGGGCCAGCAUCGGGGCGGCGGGGAGCAAAACCACCGGGGAAUGUACCUUUCGAGGAUUAUAACCCCGGCCCUUACUCCCAUACUGCCCCGAGGCCUGCAAUCUAAGGAU
This 517-nucleotide ribosomal RNA is filed under the name uncultured Metschnikowiaceae. RNAcentral's name for it is "eukaryotic LSU rRNA". It matches the Rfam family "Eukaryotic large subunit ribosomal RNA", at positions 20 to 480 of the family's 3401-position model. The record is from RNAcentral. Lineage: Eukaryota; Fungi; Ascomycota; Saccharomycetes.